AUGGGCUUAAAAUGCCUUAUUUUAUUGGUGCCUUCUUUCAUCAUGCCUUUUAAAUCAAAGGGUUACUGGUAUAUGCUUUUAGAAGAAUUCUGUCAGUAUUACCGAACUGUUGUUCCCAUACCAGUUUGGUUUCGUUACCUUAUAAGCCAUGGGGCGUUGGGUAUUAUGACUAGAUGGAGUCUUGGGAUAUUGCCAGCUUUACUCUGCCUCUUACUAAAACUUUUGGACUUUUUUGGACAUUUGAGAACUUUCAAACAGGUUUUAUGUAUGUUUUUUACACGACCAACUUACGGGGUAGCUGCCAGCAAGAGAUGGUGUUCGGAUGCGGAGGAUAUUUGUUCAAUAUGUCAAGCUGAAUUUCAGAAGCCAGUUCUACUCGCCUGCCAGCAUGUAUUUUGUGAACAUUAGCUGGGUGUGGUGACACAGGCCUGCAAUCCCAGCUCUUGGGAGGCUGAGGCAGGAGGAUCGCUGUGAGUUCGAGACCAGCCUGGGCUACAUAGUGAGUUCCAGAGCAGUCUCACUACAUAGUGAGACCCUGCCUCAAAAAAAAANNNNNNNNNNNNNNNNNNNNNNNNNNNNNNNUAAAUAUAAAUGAACCACAGACAAAAAAAAAAAAAAAAAAAAAAAAAAAUCAUACACCCCGACCAAGCUGGAUUCAUCCCAAGGAUGCAGGAAUGGUUCAACAUAGGCAAAUCAAUAAAUAGAAUACACCAUAUUGACAGAGCCAAGGACAAAAAGGGGUCGCGGAGGAUGAACAUGACCGAGUUAGGGCACCCAGUGCCGGAGAAGCUUCAGGCACAGACGUGGGAGGUGGGACGCAGGAGAAGGUGCUUGUGUCUGCUGUCAGCGAGUUUCCCCAGAAUGUCAGCUGGAAAUGUCAGAGGUAAAAUCUGCGGGCUCAGAUGAAGUCAGGGCAGCGGAAGAACCUCGAAAGGUCGCACAAGGCAAACGGAUGCUCAGUGUUUUCGUGGCAACUUUGGUUGGUUCAACCGGUGCGAUUCCUGCAUUUUUGUGGAGGGUGGAGGGUACGAUGACUUUGCUAAAUGCCGCAAUAAGGCAACAGCGUCCUGGAGAGCAGUCUGUUUGUGCGCUGGAAGAAACUCGAGUUACGAAGCCUACGAAGGGGACGAAGGGUUCUGGGGAUCAGGAUGACUCUCCUUGACUUCAGCUUGUGCCGGUCUUUGCCAUCCGUCCCACGGGGCCCUUCAAAUGCCUUUGCCGCACUACAUCACCAUUCUCCCUUCUCUGUGCCUCAGCCAUCCUCUAGCCUCUGUCCCCACAUGCAUCCUUCCACGAGUUGUUGAACAUCAUGCCGGGCGUGGUGGUGCACACCUGUGAUCCCAGCACUCCUGGGGCUGAGGCAGGAGGAUCCCUGCAGGUUCAAGGUCAGCCCGAUCUACAUAGCAAGACCCUGUGUAAAAAAAAAAAAAAGCAAAAAGUACCCAUCUUUUAAUGAUUCUAUCUACUUUCGAGGAACAUAGGAACAUAGGGGACAUGAGAAAACACAGGCCCAACUGCAAAGGGUGAAAUAAUUAUUGGCCAAAUAAUUAUCGGCAAAUGACAGCUUGCAAACCUCCAACCCUCUAGAGAGACAAGUCCCACACAGCCGAUUUCCUUCAUGUGGCCAAUGGUAACAUCUACAUCCACUAGGAACCAGCACUCGGGAGGCUGAGGCAGGAGGAUUGCUGUGAGUUCGAGACCAGCCUGGGCUACAUAGUGAGUUCCAGUUCAGUCUCAACAACACAGUGAGACCGUCUCAAAAAAAAAAAAAAAAAAAGAGCCAGCCAUUGAGUAGAAAAAUACGAUGGGGGUGAUUAGACAGGGUCUUACUAUGUAGCUCAGACCAGGCUUGAACUCACUUUGUGGCCUCGACUGGCUCCCUGCCUCAGCUUCCCAAGUGCUAUGAUUCCAUGUGAGCACCACCAUGCCCAGCUGAGAAAUACGAUUUUAAAAAAGCAUACCUUACGCUGGGCACAGUGGCACCUGUCUGUACCCCAGCUACUUGAGAGGCUGAGGGAGGAUUACCUUAAAACAAUUAAUCCCCAAAACAGCUCCCCUCAAAAUAAAAAUAUAUAUAUAUAUACUGUUGUUGUUGUUUGUUUUGCUGCUUAUCCCUCCAGGAAAAAUUGGUCCUAAGGACUGGAAGCUGCUGCCGGGGAUGCCGGGAGAUGUCCCUCAGGCUGUCAGGCACCUGGGGAGAGGCCUAGGUUUGCACCUAAGACUAGCUAUUAUCAUUGGUUUCCCAUUUUUCUCAACCAUCAUGGUCACACCCCUGGCAGAGUCUCAGGAACUCAAGCCUUUGUGAGCCUUCUUGCUUUAUCCCCAGGUUGAGCAAAUGAAGGAAAGCAAUUAGGUCCACACUUUCCCAGUCUCCAGCCCCACCUCUCCGCCCACAGGGCUCAAGGCGGGGACUGGAAUCCUCCCUCAUUUGCAUAAAGUCAAGGUUUCCUUAAGGCAAGGUGCUAGAUCAGAGAGGACUGCACUGAAGUCUUCCACUGCUGAGUACCCAGGGCAAGAGCCCCUCGUAGCAAGAGUCACACUGUCUGAUGUCUGUGUGUACUACACUCUGAUGAUUAAAUAAACAAAGCAAUACAUGAACGGUAAAUUCACAGAUACACACAUUUAACAAUGUUUACCAUUUAAAUGCUGGGACUGUCAUUUUAAGCAUUAUUUUCCUUAAGAUUUAGUCCAUAAACAAGGUGUGGUCAUACAUGCAGAAAAUCUCAGUACUCUGGAAAGCUGAGGCAGGAGGAUAGCAAGAAUAAACCCAGCCUGGGCAAUGUAGUGACUUGGCAAAACCCUAUCUCAAAAUAAAAAAGAAACAAGAGCUGCAGAUGUGGCUCAGUGUGGAGGGCCUGGGUUCAAUCCCCAGUACCACACACACACACACACACACACACACACACACACACACACACAAUUAGCCCAUGGAAGAGAGGAUGUUGUUCCGUGCAGGUGGCCUGCAUAGCAUGCAUGGGGCACUGCAUUGAAUUCCAGGACCCCAAGUCCUGAAAAAAGAAAAGAAAAAGAUUUAGCCCACAGAUGCCCAUGUUUCAUUGUUACAUACCGUGUCGCACAGCAAAGGUGCCCACCUGCUAUGUAGAUGCCUUGGGGACCACCAAGUCAGAGCCAUUUUUAUAGUAUCCCUGUUAUCACUAAUACAUUAUUUCAUUGUUUUAUUAACUAGCAGUACAGGGUCUUUGCAUAGUAAAAAAAAAAUAUACAUAUAUAUAACAAUUG
Molecule: long non-coding RNA, 3240 nt
Organism: Fukomys damarensis (Damara mole-rat)
Lineage: Eukaryota; Metazoa; Chordata; Mammalia; Rodentia; Bathyergidae
Source: Ensembl